CCUACGGGUGGCAGCAGUGGGGAAUUUUCCGCAAUGGGCGAAAGCCUGACGGAGCAAUACCGCGUGAGGGAUGAAGGCUUACUGAGUUGUAAACCUCUUUUUUCAAGGAAGAAGUUCUGACGUUACUUGAAGAAUAAGCAUCGGCUAACUCCGUGCCAGCAGCCGCGGUAAGACGGAGGAUGCAAGUGUUAUCCGGAAUCACUGGGCGUAAAGCGUCUGCAGGUGGUUUUUUAAGUCUGAUGUUAAAACUUGAGGCUCAACCUCAAUCCAGCAUUGGAAACUAGAAGACUAGAGUAUAGUAGGGAUAGAGGGAAUUUCCAGUGGAGCGGUGAAAUGCGUAGAUAUUGGAAAGAACACCGAUGGCGAAAGCACUCUAUUGGACUAUUACUGACACUCAGAGACGAAAGCUAGGGGAGCAAAUGGGAUUAGAUACCCGAGUA
Molecule: ribosomal RNA, 440 nt
Filed under: uncultured bacterium
Lineage: Bacteria
Description: bacterial SSU rRNA
Rfam family: Bacterial small subunit ribosomal RNA
Source: RNAcentral